UCUGGUGCUUUUUGUGCUAAGGCCUGAAGGUGUCUGGAGCACUGGACUGUGAUAUGAUGUGGAGCUGGAGGGAAAAUGAGCACCUGGAGGAGAACUGACCGGGCUGUAGGCAGCACAUGAUGGAUGGAUGGGCUGAGACAGCGUGAUCACAUAAGCUGCAUUCCCCUGGGAAACCAGACUGAAAACACAUAAGGUUUUUUUUCCUGGGUGUUGUAUGUGCUUGCUUGUCACCAGCCGGACCUAUGAAUGUAAUUGAACAUGGAGAAAGUGACAAGAUCAAGCCCUAAAUCUGCGGUGUGAUAACUUCUGUUCUAAAAAGCAGAGCUGGAGGCAACAAGGGUCUGUGGUUUCCUUUGUACACUCAUUUCAACCAACAGGACAGCAAUGCUGUUACAGCUAGGCUGUGUUACUAGUUGUUCUAACAAUAUGUAAAUUAUUAAGACUGCAAACAGCAGCAAUGAAGUCGAAGAUAUGAGAGUAUGCAGUAUGCUACAUGAAGAACAAUUUUAUGUCAUUAAAAUGGUUUUGGCAGACUAACUUGCACA
Long non-coding RNA from Numida meleagris (helmeted guineafowl), 545 nucleotides. RefSeq lists it as uncharacterized. NCBI's taxonomy places the organism in Eukaryota, Metazoa, Chordata, Aves, Galliformes, Numididae. The transcript has 3 exons. The record is from RefSeq and is a predicted model, not a curated record.